GUAGGUGGCAAGCGUUGUCCGGAAUUAUUGGGCGUAAAGCGCGCGCAGGUGGUUCUUUAAGUCUGAUGUGAAAGCCCCCGUCUCAACCGGGGAGGGUCAUCGGAAACUGGGGAACUUGAGUGCAGGAGAGGAAAGUGGAAUUCCACGUGUAGCGGUGAAAUGCGUAGAUAUGUGGAGGAACACCAGUGGCGAAGGCGACUUUCUGGCCUGUAACUGACACUGAGGCGCGAAAGCGUGGGGAGCAAACAGGAUUAGAUACCCUGGUAGUCCACGCCGUAAACGAUGAGUGCUAAGUGUUGGGGGGUUUCCGCCCCUCAGUGCUGCAGCUAACGCAUUAAGCACUCCGCCUGGGGAGUACGGUCGCAAAGACUG
This 372-nucleotide ribosomal RNA is filed under the name uncultured organism. RNAcentral describes it as "partial 16S ribosomal RNA". It matches the Rfam family "Bacterial small subunit ribosomal RNA", at positions 527 to 896 of the family's 1533-position model. The record is from RNAcentral.